This 253-nucleotide ribosomal RNA is filed under the name uncultured bacterium. RNAcentral's name for it is "partial 16S ribosomal RNA". It matches the Rfam family "Bacterial small subunit ribosomal RNA", at positions 524 to 776 of the family's 1533-position model. The record is from RNAcentral.
UACGGAGGGUGCGAGCGUUAAUCGGAAUUACUGGGCGUAAAGCGCGCGUAGGCGGUUUGUUAAGUCAGCUGUGAAAGCCCCGGGCUCAACCUGGGAACUGCAGUUGAUACUGGCCGACUGGAGUGCGAGAGAGGGAGGUAGAAUUCCAUGUGUAGCGGUGAAAUGCGUAGAUAUAUGGAGGAAUACCGGUGGCGAAGGCGGCCUCCUGGCUCGACACUGACGCUGAGGUGCGAAAGCGUGGGGAGCAAACAGG